UGGGGAAUUUUGGACAAUGGGCGAAAGCCUGAUCCAGCAAUGCCGCGUGUGUGAAGAAGGCCUUCGGGUUGUAAAGCACUUUUGUCCGGAAAGAAAUCCUUGGCUCUAAUACAGUCGGGGGAUGACGGUACCGGAAGAAUAAGCACCGGCUAACUACGUGCCAGCAGCCGCGGUAAUACGUAGGGUGCAAGCGUUAAUCGGAAUUACUGGGCGUAAAGCGUGCGCAGGCGGUUUGCUAAGACCGAUGUGAAAUCCCCGGGCUCAACCUGGGAACUGCAUUGGCGACUGGCAGGCUAGAGUAUGGCAGAGGGGGGUAGAAUUCCACGUGUAGCAGUGAAAUGCGUAGAGAUGUGGAGGAAUACCGAUGGCGAAGGCAGCCCCCUGGGCCAAUACUGACGCUCAUGCACGAAAGCGUGGGGAGCAAACAGGAUUAGAUACCCUGGUAGUCCACGCCCUAAACGAUGUCAACUAGUUGUUGGGGAUUCAUUUCCUUAGUAACGUAGCUAACGCGUGAAGUUGACCGCCUGGGGAGUACGGUCGCAAGAUUAAAACUCAAAUGAAUUGACGGGGUCAUA
Molecule: ribosomal RNA, 575 nt
Filed under: uncultured bacterium
Lineage: Bacteria
Description: partial 16S ribosomal RNA
Rfam family: Bacterial small subunit ribosomal RNA
Source: RNAcentral